GAUGAACGCUGGCGGCGUGCUUAACACAUGCAAGUCGAACGGGAUCCAAGGGGUGCUUGCACUUUUUGGUGAGAGUGGCGAACGGGUGAGUAACACGUGAGUAACCUGUCCUUUUCUUUGGGAUAAGCAUUCGAAAGGGUGUUUAAUACCUUAUGUUCUGUCUGCCUCGCAUGGGGUGGGUGGGAAAGGCUUUGGCCGGAUUUGGGUGGGCUCGCGGUCUAUCAGCUUGUUGGUGGGGUGAUGGCUUACCAAGGCUUUGACGGGUAGCCGGCCUGAGAGGGUGGUCGGUCACAUUGGGACUGAGAUACGGCCCAGACUCCUGCGGGAGGCAGCAGUGGGGGAUAUUGCACAAUGGGCGAAAGCCUGAUGCAGCGACGCCGCGUGGGGGAUGAAGGCCUUCGGGUUGUAAACUUCUGUUGCUCUGAACAAGGCAUGCCAGUGGGUGUGUUGAGUGUAGGGGUUGAUUACCGCCGGCUAACUACGUG
This 485-nucleotide ribosomal RNA is filed under the name uncultured bacterium. Its description in RNAcentral is "partial 16S ribosomal RNA". It matches the Rfam family "Bacterial small subunit ribosomal RNA", at positions 28 to 507 of the family's 1533-position model. The record is from RNAcentral.